Molecule: non-coding RNA, 552 nt
Organism: Paramuricea clavata
Lineage: Eukaryota; Metazoa; Cnidaria; Anthozoa; Malacalcyonacea; Plexauridae
Source: the annotation of a GenBank genome assembly
GUCAUUUUAGAGUAGUUUUAUAUGGUUAACCCAACUUCUGACGUCACUAAAACUAUAGUUAAUUAGGUGAAGAAUUAGUCCAAGAUGGCGGACAGCUCAUUAAUUUCGAUUUAAAUAUUUCGAGCAAAAUAUGAGAAAGGAGAACUAAGAAGAGACAAAUGGUAAUUGUUGAACAGCCACUAUAAUGACAUAUCGUUGGGAUACCCUAAUAAAGGAAGAAUCAAAGGUUUAGAUUACCGUACCAGAGUCUUUCUUCUUGCGUCGUUCCUCUCUGGCUUUUUGCCUGUCAGCUUCAGCCUGAUUGGUCUCAGCUUCUCUCUGCUUUCGUCUCUCUUCACGUUCUAAUCUCCGCUUUUCACGUUGUUGGGCCAAAUCAUCCUGGGAAAUUUAAAACAAGGCAAUUAUAGGAUGAAUUUGGGUAUAUAAUAAUAAUAGUCCCCGAGCCAACGACGCGAAGCUCUUUCCCUGGCUUAAGCCCAGGGCGAGGUACUAAUUCCGCUCGGCUAUUUACACCCGGGAAAAGGAAAACAUUAGGGAAGUUUGAAGUUCAUC